AUGAAAUACCUUGGGUUGCCUUUGCCUGUCAAGAGACUGAAAAGAAUUCACUACCAGCCCCUUGAGGACAAGGUUGCAGGCCAACUCACUCCUUGGGUGGGGAGGCAUGUUGCCUCAGCGGGUCGCGCUGUCUUGGUAAAGUCGGUCCUCACAGCAAUUGCGGUCUACUACAUGACGGCGUUAGAUUUACCAGUGGAGGUCAAGAAGAAAAUUGAUGCCCUCAGACGUGCUUUCCUCUGGGCAGGUUGUGAUAAGGUCACUGGUGGAAAAUGCAAGAUAAAUUGAGAGCAAGUGUGCAAGUCCAAGAUGCAUGGAGGUCUUGGAAUCCUAAACCUUGACAAAUUUGCCAUUGCCCUUCGCCUUCGGUGGCUGUGGGACGAGUGGCUUCACCCAGAUAAGCCAUGGGUUGGCUUGGGAACCCCUUGUGAUGACAAUGACCGAGAUAUCUUUGCCGGGGCUACCAAGGUCCAAGUUGGGGAUGGCAUGCGUGCCAAGUUCUGGGAGUCUCCUUGGCUUGAUGGGAUUAGGCCCAAGGACAUAGCUCCCAAAAUCUAUGACUUGUCGAAGAAGAAGAAGAAUUGCUCGGUUCGGUUGGCUCUGCACGAUAACUUCUGGACUUCCCAGGUGGACAUUCUUCAGGGCAUUACAGUUCAACACCUCUCUGAGAUUUGUCUCCCUUUGGGAGAGGGUCUCGCAUGUCCACCUUGA
RNAcentral lists this ribosomal RNA (708 nucleotides) under Triticum aestivum (bread wheat). Its description in RNAcentral is "partial small subunit ribosomal RNA". Lineage: Eukaryota; Viridiplantae; Streptophyta; Magnoliopsida; Poales; Poaceae. The record is from RNAcentral.